RNAcentral lists this ribosomal RNA (840 nucleotides) under uncultured Kineosporiaceae bacterium. RNAcentral's name for it is "bacterial SSU rRNA". It matches the Rfam family "Bacterial small subunit ribosomal RNA", at positions 505 to 1345 of the family's 1533-position model. Lineage: Bacteria; Bacillati; Actinomycetota; Actinomycetes; Kineosporiales; Kineosporiaceae. The record is from RNAcentral.
UUGCCAGCAGCCGCGGUAAUACGUAGGGUGCAAGCGUUGUCCGGAAUCAUUGGGCGUAAAGAGCUCGUAGGCGGUCUGUCGCGUCUGCUGUGAAAACCUGGGGCUUAACCCCGGGCCUGCAGUGGGUACGGGCAGACUAGAGUGCGGUAGGGGAGACUGGAAUUCCUGGUGUAGCGGUGAAAUGCGCAGAUAUCAGGAGGAACACCGGUGGCGAAGGCGGGUCUCUGGGCCGUAACUGACGCUGAGGAGCGAAAGCAUGGGUAGCGAACAGGAUUAGAUACCCUGGUAGUCCAUGCCGUAAACGUUGGGCGCUAGGUGUGGGGCUCAUUCCACGAGUUCCGUGCCGCAGCAAACGCAUUAAGCGCCCCGCCUGGGGAGUACGGCCGCAAGGCUAAAACUCAAAGGAAUUGACGGGGCCCCGCACAAGCGGCGGAGCAUGCGGAUUAAUUCGAUGCAACGCGAAGAACCUUACCAAGGCUUGACAUGCAGGGAAAUCUCCCAGAGAUGGGAGGUCCGCAAGGGUCCUGCACAGGUGGUGCAUGGUUGUCGUCAGCUCGUGUCGUGAGAUGUUGGGUUAAGUCCCGCAACGAGCGCAACCCUCGUUCUAUGUUGCCAGCGGGUAAUGCCGGGGACUCAUAGGAGACUGCCGGGGUCAACUCGGAGGAAGGUGGGGAUGACGUCAAAUCAUCAUGCCCCUUAUGUCUUGGGCUUCACGCAUGCUACAAUGGCCAGUACAAAGGGCUGCGAGACCGUAAGGUGGAGCGAAUCCCAAAAAGCUGGUCUCAGUUCGGAUUGGGGUCUGCAACUCGACCCCAUGAAGUCGGAGUCGCUAGUAAUCGC